UUGAGGAAGAGGUGGGGGUGGCAGGCUUCACCAGCCUUAGCAUUCUUUUCCCCCCUGGGGCAGCAUUUCCAAUUAUGCCUCUCUGUCAUCAACACCUCUUCAUGUCUGGGCUCAUCACCCUUCCAGACCAGUUCCCACACGGCUGAGUCACCAGAGAAAGCAGGACCCCACACCAAGAUGAUAUUCUCAACCAUGCUCAACA
Mesocricetus auratus (golden hamster) is the source of this 202-nucleotide unclassified non-coding RNA. Lineage: Eukaryota; Metazoa; Chordata; Mammalia; Rodentia; Cricetidae. The record is from Ensembl.